This is a long non-coding RNA of Perca flavescens (yellow perch), 214 nucleotides long. RefSeq lists it as uncharacterized. NCBI's taxonomy places the organism in Eukaryota, Metazoa, Chordata, Actinopteri, Perciformes, Percidae. The record is from RefSeq and is a predicted model, not a curated record. The transcript is spliced from 3 exons.
GGAGAUCAUCGGGUGGUAGACCAACGUACUGCACCGGACACAUCUCAUUUCUGGACUCUUGGGGCGAAUACGAUCAGAGAGGAAAAUGCCAGGCAGAGAGGGAAUAAAAGAGAGAUCACCUGCCGGAGGGACUGAAGCAAGUAAAAAGAUGCUCUUACACAGCAGAUGGGGAUAGCCGCCGUCACCCAAUUUACUUUUGCCCAGGCUGUGCAAC